GCGGCGCGCCUAACACAUGCAAGUCGAACGAGAGAGAGGGAGCUUGCUUCCUCAAUCGAGUGGCGAACGGGUGAGUAACGCGUGAGGAACCUGCCUCAAAGAGGGGGACAACAGUUGGAAACGACUGCUAAUACCGCAUAAGCCCACGGGUCGGCAUCGACCAGAGGGAAAAGGAGCAAUCCGCUUUGAGAUGGCCUCGCGUCCGAUUAGCUAGUUGGUGAGGUAACGGCCCACCAAGGCGACGAUCGGUAGCCGGACUGAGAGGUUGAACGGCCACAUUGGGACUGAGACACGGCCCAGACUCCUACGGGAGGCAGCAGUGGGGAAUAUUGCACAAUGGGGGAAACCCUGAUGCAGCGACGCCGCGUGGAGGAAGAUGGUCUUCGGAUUGUAAACUCCUGUUGUUGAGGAAGAUAAUGACGGUACUCAACAAGGAAGUGACGGCUAACUACGUGCCAGCAGCCGCGGUAAAACGUAGGUCACAAGCGUUGUCCGGAAUUACUGGGUGUAAAGGGAGCGCAGGCGGGAAGACAAGUUGGAAGUGAAAUCUAUGGGCUCAACCCAUAAACUGCUUUCAAAACUGUUUUUCUUGAGUAGUGCAGAGGUAGGCGGAAUUCCCGGUGUAGCGGUGGAAUGCGUAGAUAUCGGGAGGAACACCAGUGGCGAAGGCGGCCUACUGGGCACCAACUGACGCUGAGGCUCGAAAGUGUGGGUAGCAAACAGGAUUAGAUACCCUGGUAGCCCACACCGUAAACGAUGAUUACUAGGUGUGGGAGGAAUUGACCCCUUCAGUGCCGCAGUUAACACAAUAAGUAAUCCACCUGGGGGAGUACGACCGCAAGGUUGAAACUCAAAGGAAUUGACGGGGGCCCGCACAAGCAGUGGAGUAUGUGGUUUAAUUCGACGCAACGCGAAGAACCUUACCAAGUCUUGACAUCCUGCGACGAUGCUGGAAACAGUAUUUUCCUUCGGGACGCAGAGACAGGUGGUGCAUGGUUGUCGUCAGCUCGUGUCGUGAGAUGUUGGGUUAAGUCCCGCAACGAGCGCAACCCUUACUGUCAGUUACUACGCAAGAGGACUCUGGCAGGACUGCCGUUGACAAAACGGAGGAAGGUGGGGAUGACGUCAAAUCAUCAUGCCCUUUAUGACUUGGGCUACACACGUACUACAAUGGCGUUAAACAAAGAGAAGCAAGACCGCGAGGUGGAGCAAAACUCAGAAACAACGUCCCAGUUUGGACUGCAGGCUGCAACUCGCCUGCACGAAGUCGGAAUUGCUAGUAAUCGUGGAUCAGCAUGCCACGGUGAAUACGUUCCCGGGCCUUGCACACACCGCCCGUCAA
Molecule: ribosomal RNA, 1342 nt
Filed under: uncultured bacterium
Lineage: Bacteria
Description: bacterial SSU rRNA
Rfam family: Bacterial small subunit ribosomal RNA
Source: RNAcentral